This 74-nucleotide transfer RNA is filed under the name Ipomoea nil (Japanese morning glory). It matches the Rfam family "tRNA". From Rfam's summary of the family: Transfer RNA (tRNA) molecules are approximately 80 nucleotides in length. The record is from Rfam by way of RNAcentral. Lineage: Eukaryota; Viridiplantae; Streptophyta; Magnoliopsida; Solanales; Convolvulaceae.
GGUCUCGUAGCUCAGUUGGUUAGAGCAUUGGUCUUAUGAGCCGAAGGUCGCGGGUUCAAGCCCCGUCGAGACCA